GGAUGUGAGGGUGAUCUGACUACAACAUCUGUCACCCCAUUGAUCGCCAGGGUUGAUUCGGCUGAUCUGGCUGGCUAGGCAGGUGUCCCCUUCCUCCCUCACUGCUCCAUGUGCGUCCCUCCCAGAGCUGCAUGCUUGGUCAAAGAGGACGGCCUUGCCCGUAUAGAGACGGACUGGCCUUCGGGCGAGGGUAUGCGAAGGUAUGCGAGUAGACACUCCCCUGCUAGAACCUCCAAACAAGCUCUCAAAGGGGAAACACAAAGCAGGACUUGGACCGGAGUUGGUGUAUUGCACCAAAGUAACGAACUCU
RNAcentral lists this small nuclear RNA (310 nucleotides) under Erinaceus europaeus (western European hedgehog). RNAcentral describes it as "7SK RNA". It matches the Rfam family "7SK RNA". Rfam says of the family: 7SK was discovered as an abundant small nuclear RNA in the mid-70s but a possible function has only recently been suggested. Two independent studies have found that 7SK RNA binds the CDK9/cyclin T complex (known as elongation factor P-TEFb). The record is from Rfam by way of RNAcentral. Lineage: Eukaryota; Metazoa; Chordata; Mammalia; Eulipotyphla; Erinaceidae.